Long non-coding RNA from Alnus glutinosa, 1365 nucleotides. RefSeq lists it as uncharacterized. The transcript is spliced from 4 exons. The record is from RefSeq and is a predicted model, not a curated record. NCBI's taxonomy places the organism in Eukaryota, Viridiplantae, Streptophyta, Magnoliopsida, Fagales, Betulaceae.
AUCCCUCACUUAAAGUUUCUGAGUUUCUUUCUUCUUCCCUUAAUUAUUUGUUCUUUCUUCUUUAUUCAUUCUUCUUUCUUCUUCCAUCCAACAAUAAAGGGAGAGUGAGAGUCUGAGAUUAGAGGAGAAAAAAAUAGAGGGAGAACCGAGAGACCCGAGAGAGAGAGAGAGAGAGAUAGCCCGAGAGGGAGAGAGUGAGAGAGAGAGAGAGAGAGAGAAGAGGUGCCAAUCAUGAGAGAGAGAGAGAGAAACCGGAACUGAGAGUGAAACCGGGAGAAGCCCGGAGAAGACUUGAUCGGAGGCCAUUUUUUCGGUGGAACCAGAGAACCGUCGGACCCAGGAGGAUCCGAAACCAAGGAGACUCGACCCUCCGACGAGACCCAGAGGCGCGAUUCUGGCCGGUCCCAGUGGCAAUUUCCAGCCGAUUUCUAGUGGGUCGACUUCGGUGGAACAUGGGACACGAUUUCCGGCGAUCCGAGUCCAUUUUCCGGUGAAAUCCGAGAUGAUUUCUGAUGGGUUUCUCAGAAACUCUUUGGAUGAUGAGCUAAGGAACUGGACCAAAGAGAUGCGGGGUGUUACAGGAGUAGUUUGGAUGGACACAAGAAGGCCGAAUUGGUGAAGUCAAUUCAUGAGAGGGUAUGACUUCAAAUUGCGCAGAAGAAUGAAAAGUUUGAUUCCCAAAUCAAUAAAGGGCGAAUGCGUGUCAUCUUUGAAUCAGGAGAUUGGGUUUAGGUUCACAUGCCCAAAGAAAGAUUCCCAGCCCAUAGAAGGACUAAAUUGCAUCCUUUAGGUGUCGAUUCGAGGUCAAAUCCUUUUGAGGAGAGGGAGAAUGGUGGGCACCAUGGUAGACUGAAUCUUAAAGAUCCCUUGCAAGUUCUAGAUGGGCCAAUCACAAGGUCAAGAGCGAAGAAGAUUAAAGAAGCAAUGCAAGGAUUUGUGCAAUCCACUUGGGCCGAGUUUGCAAAUUUAUCGAGCAAGACUUCAACAUUCAAGUUGGACUUGAAAGAAGAAGAACCACCUUUAAUCCAUGUGAUACAAGCGAUAGAUGGGGGCGACAUAGCCUAGUGGUUUAGUGCAGAUUCUUUAUUUCAUUAAGCAUAGGCGUGUGGGCCUAUUUUUAUGUUUCUAUGGUUGUAGGCUUUUGGGCCUAUUUAUUUCAUUAAGUGGACUUCUUUUAUUAGUUAUAGAAGUGUAGUUUAAGAUGUUUUGGGCUUGAAGAUGCAUGUCUUUUAAUUGAUGUAGGCCUUAGUAGGUUUAGGGUUUUAUGGAGAGGUUUUAAAAAGACUUGUAGCCGCAUUUGCCAGACAAGUUGAAUGUGAAUGGAGUUUUUGUUCUUCAUAGAAAACUUUUCCGUUUUCUUUACUU